RNAcentral lists this ribosomal RNA (429 nucleotides) under uncultured bacterium. RNAcentral describes it as "bacterial SSU rRNA". It matches the Rfam family "Bacterial small subunit ribosomal RNA", at positions 958 to 1385 of the family's 1533-position model. The record is from RNAcentral.
AACGCGAAGAACCUUACCAGGGCUUGACAUCCUCUGUAAACUGCAGAAAUGCAGUCCCCAUAGCAAUAUGGCAGGGUGACAGGUGCUGCAUGGCUGUCGUCAGCUCGUGUCGUGAGAUGUUGGGUUAAGUCCCGCAACGAGCGCAACCCUCGUCGAGUGUUGCCAUCAUUCAGUUGGGCACUCACUCGAGACCGCCGUUGAUAAGACGGAGGAAGGUGGGGAUGACGUCAAGUCCGCAUGGCCCUUACGUCCUGGGCUACACACGUGCUACAAUGGCCGGUACAACGAGCAGCAAGACCGCGAGGUCAAGCGAAUCUCUUAAAGCCGGUCUCAGUUCGGAUCGAAGGCUGCAACUCGCCUUCGUGAAGUCGGAAUCGCUAGUAACUGCAGAUCAGCUACGCUGCGGUGAAUACGUUCCCGGGCCUUGUA